Molecule: long non-coding RNA, 204 nt
Filed under: Panax ginseng (ginseng)
Lineage: Eukaryota; Viridiplantae; Streptophyta; Magnoliopsida; Apiales; Araliaceae
Description: long non-coding RNA (PGIN_LNC003393)
Source: RNAcentral
CUCCAUUCAGAUAACUUCUUUGUUCUUGGAGAUUUGUUUUCUCAUUUGUGAGGUAUUUUCGUCUUGUGAUUUACACUUAUGGUGUGUUUGUAAGGCUUAUGCCUUUUUGGCCAUUUUGUAAACUCUAUUUGGUGAUAGUGGAAGAAAUUGACCUACCGGUCUUGUGGAUGUACCUCAAUUUGAGGGAACCACGUAAUUCUUGUG